CAAUAGCGUAUAUUAAAGUUGUUGCAGUUAAAAAGCUCGUAGUUGGAUUUCGGGGCGGCCUGUCUGGUCCGUCGCGAGACGAGUACUGGUCAGCCGCCCUUCCUCUCGAAAGCCCCGACUGCUCUUAACUGCAGUGGUCGGGUAGUUCGGGACGUUUACUUUGAAAAAAUUAGAGUGUUCAAGGCAGGCUCUGGCCUGAAUACAUUAGCAUGGAAUAAUGGAAGAGGACCUCGGUCCUAUUUUGUUGGUUUCUGGGGCCGAAGUAAUGAUUAAGAGGGACAGUUGGGGGCAUUCGUAUUUAAUUGUCAGAGGUGAAAUUCUCGGAUUUAUGAAAGACGAACAACUGCGAAAGCAUUUGCCAAGGAUGUUUUCAUUAA
This 377-nucleotide ribosomal RNA is filed under the name uncultured eukaryote. RNAcentral describes it as "partial 18S ribosomal RNA". It matches the Rfam family "Eukaryotic small subunit ribosomal RNA", at positions 592 to 976 of the family's 1831-position model. The record is from RNAcentral.